Camellia sinensis is the source of this 2450-nucleotide non-coding RNA. The record is from RefSeq and is a predicted model, not a curated record. Lineage: Eukaryota; Viridiplantae; Streptophyta; Magnoliopsida; Ericales; Theaceae.
GUCUUUCCCCCAUUUUUUCAUUUCCUUUCAGGUUUGCAAAGCCCUAAGUUUCGAAACAACACACUCUCUCUCUCUCUCUCUCUCACUCUCACGGAGGCGAGCGACGAGCGGCGAAUUUUGGUUUGGACGAGCGACCAGCAGGACCAUGAUUCUCGACAAGGGUCAGCUUCUCGAGACCGAGCAAAUGUUCCGCGACGCCGGUGAGCAGUGACCUGUUAUUAUCCCUGAGGAGGAGAUCCGCCAAGCAGCCCUUGGUACUAAGUGUCAUCUCUUCAGCAGUUUAUCUUCAACUUCUGAGAUUUACUUAAGUUCAAUUUUGAUCUUUCUAGAGAAGCCGACUCUAGCAGCUCCAGGUUUUGCUUACAGGGAUAUUGUCACUAGUCAAUACCUUCACACCUUCUUAUCUCUUCUAUAAAUAUUUCCUAAUUAUUAAGUGUUUUCUCAAUCAUUCUCUUUUAUUUUUCUCUAUCUCAGAGCUUAUAGGCUUGAUGGAUGUACAGGGUUCCAUCUUGUUUUGAAACAAAACCUUCAGAAGGUCACACUAAAAUAGAACCUGAUGUUGUCCAUGGUCAAAGGAAAGGAUAUCUUAGUUUUCUUCUAAAUUUAUAGCUACCAUUCCAGUUUCCCAUCCCAUAUUGGCAGAAUCUACACCCUGUAUAUAACUUCUUUGAUGAUUUGUUUUUUGUCUAGAUUAAAAUAAAUUUGUAUGUAUUUGUCUUUAGUUUUUGAUAAGUUCACUGGAAUUUGGUUGUUAAAUUUUAAAAAAUAUUGAUUGGAUGUUGUUAUGGACAAACACAAUAAUGGUGAUGCUCCAAGGUCUAAAAAUAUGGGUUCCAUUCAUAAGGUCUAAGUUGCAGAAGAGCUUCUUUUAUCUCUACCGAAUAAUUGUGCUACUAACUCCUUGUACUAAACUGUUUUAUUGCUGGCUACCUUUUGAACUCUUUAUCUCAAACUAUGUACUUUCUUGAUUGAUAUACUUCCUUUUUGAGGUAUGGACAUCAUGGCUGUUGCUUUUGUUUUUAGGUUUCGAGUCACUAUACCUUAAGCCAAUGGUUUUCAUUAUAUGAUAUGUUAGGAAAUUCUCAUUCACGGGCAACUUUUAAUUAAGUAGGAUGUUCCAAGAGCUGGAGUAAAAGAAAAUUUAUUUAAGUGGAGCACAUUGAAUCUGAGGGUAAUGUCGAUUCCCUCAUUAGCUUUGUACAGGCUGGGAACUUGAAGGGGAAAAUAACUAGGUGCGGUUGAAAAUAUAAAUGCUGAUUUUUUUUUCCUUAUUGUGAUAAAUGUAUCAACGUGUGUCUUAUAUUUAGCCUAUCACUUUGAUUGCCUAAUCAUUUUAAUGUUUUUGAUAAAAAUUUGUGUUAUCCCUUUGGUUGGCUGUAGGUCAACCGAAUUCUUCAAGAUGUUCAAUUUAAAGACCGGAAGUGGUUUAAGCAAUUUGUUUCCCAAAAGUGAACUUUAUUAAUUAUCAUUUUAAUGUCUUGCAGUCUUUGUGAAAAUUGUCAUCAAAAGUGAACUUUAUUAAUUAUUUAAUUAAUCUAUUCCAUGAGUUGUUUUAUUUUCAGGAGCGAUUAAGAGGCAGUGGUGAUGAUAUUGUAGCCGCAAGGAUGGGUGCAAAGUUAAAUGUUGCAGGGUGGAUUUCUAAACAAAUAGGUGGCGUUAGAACAUGAUAAUGCGGCAUGUGAAUCACUCUGCUAGUGAUCUGAUUGAUCUCUUGCAAGGGCUUCUGUGAUAUGACCGAGCAGAGCAGCUCAAAGCAAAGGAAGCUCUUAGACAUCCCUACCUGAGAAGGUUACUGGUUGGGUGGUUGAAUACCAAGAUAAUCUGGUAAGCCGUGGUGUUGAUGAGUCCUUAGCUCAAGUUUGUUCCAAGAGUGGUGCAAUGGAUCCCCUUAUGAAUGCAUAUGUUGAAAGAAUGCAAGCUACAACAAGGAAAUGGUACUUGAAUAUCCUUGAAGCUGAAAAGGUACAACCACCAAAGAAAACAGAUGAUGAGAGGCUAUAUACACCUGUUGCUGUUGAUUUGUUUAGGAUCCUUGGCGAGCAAGUGCAAAUUGCUCAUGAAAAUAACAUCGAUAUCAUGCUGUACAGAACUGCUUUGUCCAUUAAUCAGAUGGAUGAACUCGUGCAUGAAGGUAAAUAGCAUAGGACUAAUUGGCGCUAUAAGCAUUUUUGGAAGUAUUAUACAUUUUUUGAUAGAUGUGUAUGGAAAAUAUUUCGAUAAACUAGUAGUUAUAUUUUUGGAUGGGUGUAUAUGGAAAAUAUUUGGGUAAACUAGUUAUAUUUUUUGAUAGAUGCACAUUGAUAAAAAUUUAAAUUGUAGGAAUAUGUACUUUGGAAUUACUUGUGGAUGUAAACUUAUAAUAGUGGUUAACUUUUAUUAAACAAGUUUAGGAUUGGAUGAUUUAUGUAUUUCGUUGAAUGUUCAUGAUUCAGAUACUUUGUUGGUAUGAA